AUUGAACGCUGGCGGAAUGCUUUACACAUGCAAGUCGAACGGCAGCACGGACUUCGGUCUGGUGGCGAGUGGCGAACGGGUGAGUAAUACAUCGGAACGUGCCCAGUCGUGGGGGAUAACGUAGCGAAAGCUACGCUAAUACCGCAUACGAUCUAAGGAUGAAAGCGGGGGAUCGCAAGACCUCGCGCGAUUGGAGCGGCCGAUGGCAGAUUAGGUAGUUGGUAGGGUAAAGGCCUACCAAGCCGACGAUCUGUAGCUGGUCUGAGAGGACGACCAGCCACACUGGGACUGAGACACGGCCCAGACUCCUACGGGAGGCAGCAGUGGGGAAUUUUGGACAAUGGACGCAAGUCUGAUCCAGCCAUUCCGCGUGCAGGAUGAAGGCCCUCGGGUUGUAAACUGCUUUUGUACAGAACGAAAAGGCUCUGGUUAAUACCAGGAGCUCAUGGCGGUACUGUAAGAAUAAGCACCGGCUAACUACGUGCCAGCAGCCGCCGUAA
This 500-nucleotide ribosomal RNA is filed under the name uncultured bacterium. Its description in RNAcentral is "partial 16S ribosomal RNA". It matches the Rfam family "Bacterial small subunit ribosomal RNA", at positions 30 to 523 of the family's 1533-position model. The record is from RNAcentral.